Molecule: ribosomal RNA, 253 nt
Filed under: uncultured bacterium
Lineage: Bacteria
Description: partial 16S ribosomal RNA
Rfam family: Bacterial small subunit ribosomal RNA
Source: RNAcentral
UACGUAGGUGACAAGCGUUGUCCGGAUUUACUGGGCGUAAAGAGCGCGCAGGCGGUCGAUCAAGUCGAGUGUGAAAGCCCCCGGCUCAACUGGGGAGGGUCAUUCGAUACUGAUCGACUCGAAGGCAGGAGAGGGUAGUGGAAUUCCCGGUGUAGUGGUGAAAUGCGUAGAUAUCGGGAGGAACACCGGUGGCGAAGGCGACUACCUGGCCUGUUCUUGACGCUGAGGCGCGAAAGCGAGGGGAGCAAACGGG